Molecule: ribosomal RNA, 480 nt
Filed under: Ariomma brevimanus
Lineage: Eukaryota; Metazoa; Chordata; Actinopteri; Scombriformes; Ariommatidae
Description: partial small subunit ribosomal RNA
Rfam family: Bacterial small subunit ribosomal RNA
Source: RNAcentral
CACUAUGCUUAGCCGUAAACAAUGAUAGAGUCCUACACCCCCUAUCCGCCUGGGUAUUACGAGCAUUAGCUUAAAACUCAAAGGACUUGGCGGUACUUUAGAUCCCCCUAGAGGAGCCUGUUCUGUAACCGAUAAACCCCGUUAAACCUCACCCUCCCUUGUUUUUCCCGCCUAUAUACCGCCGUCGUCAGCUUACCCUGUGAAGGGUCCAUAGUAAGCAAAAUUGGCACUGCCCAGAACGUCAGGUCGAGGUGUAGUAAAUGAGAGGGGAAGAAAUGGGCUACAUUCGCUAAUGUAGCGAAUACGAAUGAUGUAAUGAAAUCGUACAUACUGAAGGAGGAUUUAGCAGUAAGUGGAAAAUAGAGUGUUCCACUGAAGUUGGCUCUAAAGUGCGCACACACCGCCCGUCACUCUCCCCAAGCUUAAACAAAUAACCACCUAACUAAGACAAUACCGCCGCAAAGGGGAGGCAAGUCGUAA